This 443-nucleotide ribosomal RNA is filed under the name uncultured bacterium. RNAcentral's name for it is "partial 16S ribosomal RNA". It matches the Rfam family "Bacterial small subunit ribosomal RNA", at positions 338 to 795 of the family's 1533-position model. The record is from RNAcentral.
CCUACGGGUGGCAGCAGUGGGGAAUAUUGCUCAAUGGGCGCAACCCUGACCCAGCAACGCCGCGUGAAGGAAGAAGGCUUUCGGGUUGUAAACUUCUUUUCUCAGGGACGAAGCAAGUGACGGUACCUGAGGAAUAAGCCACGGCUAACUACGGGCCAGCAGCCGCGGUAAUACGUAGGUGGCAAGCGUUCUCCGGAUUUACGGGGUGUAAAGGGCGGGUAGGCGGCGCUGCAAGUCAGAUGUGAAAACCCCGGGCUUAACCUGUGGACUGCAUUUGAAACUGUAGUUCUUGAGUGCUGGAGAGGCAGGCGGAAUUCCUAGUGUAGCGGUGAAAUGCGUAGAUAUUAGGAGGAACACCAGUGGCGAAGGCGGUCUGCUGGACAGCAACUGACGCUGAGGCGCGAAAGCGUGGGGAGCAAACAGGAUUAGAUACCCGAGUAGUC